CUUUUAUUUUCCUCUUUUUUUCUCACGUCCUCUCUUUCUCUCUCUCUUCCUUCACUUUUCUCCCCAAAUUUUUAAUUCUCAAAUCUGUCUUAUUCAACCCUAAUUCAAACCAUAUCUCUUCAAUUCAUAGACUAAUGAAUCUCCGUAUCUUUUCAACCAUAAUCCAUAUCUCUUUUUAACAUAUUUUUCCCAUUUGUUUUUGUAGGUUGAAGAGAUCCGAAUGUUUUAGGUGUGGAUUUAUAUUCUUGAAGUUCAGUAUUUCUUCAACAUAAGAUCUAGAAAAUAUACAAAAUAUAGUGGAUGAAAUUUUGGAUGUGAAAGGCAAAAACAGAUCUAAAGUAUAUCAUUAAGCUCAAGUGAUUUUAUACUUGUAUGCGUGAAUGAUUAUCUUAAGAUCUUGAGAAUGUUUAUAUUUUUUGAUUAAAUAUCCUCUUUGAUUUUAUUUUUCGGUGUGUUUGGUUUGAUUUUCUUUUUACUAUUUUCAUGUUUGCUAUGAAUUCUUUCUUAUUUAUUUGCCUUUUUUGCUUAAUAAUUAUUUUUACUUUGAUUUCAUACGAUUUAUCAAAUAAAUCUUUGAUUUUAUGAUGAAAAUAAACUUCAUAAAAUAUAUUCUAAAUAUUUUCAUUGUAUUUUCUCCAAAAGGUCUAUUAAAUUAAAUGUCUUUGUCUUUUAGUAUUGUUGUUUUGUUUAUGAGCAACUACCCUUACAGCUAAAAAUAUUGAAAUAUUUUGCUGAUAUCCAUGAAUGCUAUUUUAUCAAGGACUUGAAAAAAGAAACCAAAUUCGAAAGUUGGCAAAAUCAAUUUUUAAUUUAUUAAGUUUGAUUAUGUUUUGAUUAUAGGAGAAUUAAUCGGUAAAAUUUUGAAAUUAUUUUAUUAUUUUCUUUUUCUUUUGCAUUGGUUUUUAUUACAUUAUUUCUUAUGGAAGAUGCUUGUUUAGUGUUUGUGUUUUUGUUGGAAGGGAGAAAAAGAAGAUUUUUGUUGGAAGGAACAAAACCUUGGAAGCUGAAAUUGAUUUUCAAAAUCAUUGAAAAUUUUGAUUUGUAUUUAAUUUAAAUGAUGUAAAUUUGAUAUGCAUUUAAGGAGAAUAUUAUUAUGGUUUGACACA
This is a long non-coding RNA of Vicia villosa (hairy vetch), 1106 nucleotides long. RefSeq lists it as uncharacterized. Lineage: Eukaryota; Viridiplantae; Streptophyta; Magnoliopsida; Fabales; Fabaceae. The record is from RefSeq and is a predicted model, not a curated record. The transcript is spliced from 2 exons.